CUGGCCUGCCCAAUGAAGGUUGAAUGGCCGCGGUAUCUUGACCGUGCAAAGGUAGCAUAAUAAUUAGUUUUUUAAUUGGAAGCUGGAAUGAAUGGUCGGACGAGAAAGCAACUGUCUCUAGUUGAUCAAUAGAAUUUUAUUUUUAAGUGAAAAAGCUUAAAUUUAUUUAAAAGACGAGAAGACCCUAUAGAGUUUUAUAUUUUUUAUUAUAAUAAUUUACAGGAAUUUGUGUAAUUUUUAUAUUAUGAUUUAUUUUGUUGGGGUGAUGGAAAAAUUAGUUAAACUUUUUUUUUUUUUUU
This 299-nucleotide ribosomal RNA is filed under the name Camenta sp. DA0915. Its description in RNAcentral is "partial 16S large subunit ribosomal RNA". The stretch from base 1 to 160 matches the Rfam family "Archaeal large subunit ribosomal RNA", at positions 1946 to 2143 of the family's 2987-position model. The record is from RNAcentral. Lineage: Eukaryota; Metazoa; Arthropoda; Insecta; Coleoptera; Scarabaeidae.